Molecule: ribosomal RNA, 498 nt
Filed under: uncultured Pseudomonadota bacterium
Lineage: Bacteria; Pseudomonadati; Pseudomonadota
Description: bacterial SSU rRNA
Rfam family: Bacterial small subunit ribosomal RNA
Source: RNAcentral
GGCGCACGGGUGAGUAACGCGUAGGUAAUCUACCCCUGUAUCUGGGACAACCGACCGAAAGGUUGGCUAAUACCGGAUGCCCUUUAUUUGUCGCGAGUCAGAUAAAGGAAAGGUGACCUCUGAUCAAGUUACCGUAUGGGGAUGAGCCCGCGUACCAUUAGCUAGUAGGUGGGGUAAGGGCCUACCUAGGCGACGAUGGUUAGCGGGUCUGAGAGGAUGAUCCGCCACACUGGAACUGGAACACGGACCAGACUCCUACGGGAGGCAGCAGUGAGGAAUAUUGCGCAAUGGGGGCAACCCUGACGCAGCGACGCCGCGUGGGUGAGGAAGGUUUUCGGAUCGUAAAGCCCUGUCAGGUGGGAAGAAGUGUUAUGCGGUUAAUACCCGUGUAAUUUGACGGUACCACCAGAGGAAGCACCGGCUAACUCCGUGCCAGCAGCCGCGGUAAUACGGAGGGUGCGAGCGUUGUUCGGAAUUACUGGGCGUAAAGGGCGCGUA